RNAcentral lists this ribosomal RNA (254 nucleotides) under uncultured bacterium. RNAcentral's name for it is "partial 16S ribosomal RNA". It matches the Rfam family "Bacterial small subunit ribosomal RNA", at positions 526 to 779 of the family's 1533-position model. The record is from RNAcentral.
CGUAGGUGGCAAGCGUUGUCCGGAUUUAUUGGGCGUAAAGCGAGCGCAGGCGGUUCCUUAAGUCUGAUGUGAAAGCCCCCGGCUCAACCGGGGAGGGUCAUUGGAAACUGGGGAACUUGAGUGCAGAAGAGGAGAGUGGAAUUCCAUGUGUAGCGGUGAAAUGCGUAGAUAUAUGGAGGAACACCAGUGGCGAAGGCGACUCUCUGGUCUGUAACUGACGCUGAGGCUCGAAAGCGUGGGUAGCAAACAGGAUU